CUUGCUUUCCCACGAUCGCUGCGUGUUGCCUGCGGGGGUUGCAUUGCUAAAACGGCUCCCCUCCCUUUUGAGAAACCGGGCUUUGCUGCCGAACCGGCUGGCUUAAGCCAGGCAGCUGCUGUGCGAAACCAGUAAGCCAGGAUUCAGCGCAGGAGAUGGCGCGGAAAGAAACCUGUUUCUCCUGCCUUUGAUGAGCCUUGCCAGACCUCCAGGAGUCGGGAAGCAAGUGAGGUGGUUCUUGCUCAUGCGAUGGAUCCUGCAAAUGCAAAAACUGCAAGUGUACUUCGUGUAAAAAAAGCUGCUGUUCCUGCUGCCCAGCCAGCUGUGACAACUGUGCAAAGGGCUGUGUCUGCAAAGACCCUUCUCUGAACA
This is a long non-coding RNA of Crotalus tigris (Tiger rattlesnake), 372 nucleotides long. RefSeq lists it as uncharacterized. Lineage: Eukaryota; Metazoa; Chordata; Lepidosauria; Squamata; Viperidae. The transcript is spliced from 3 exons. The record is from RefSeq and is a predicted model, not a curated record.